AUGAAGAGUUUGAUCCUGGCUCAGGAUGAACGCUAGCGGCAGGCUUAAUACAUGCAAGUCGAGGGGCAGCACGGGUAGCAAUACUUGGUGGCGACCGGCGCACGGGUGCGUAACGCGUAUGCAACCUACCUUCAACAGGCGAAUAACUCAGAGAAAUUUGAACUAAUACGCCGUAGAAUAUGAGAGAGGCAUCUUUUUCAUAUUAAAGAAUUUUGGUUGGAGAUGGGCAUGCGUUCGAUUAGUUAGUUGGCGAGGUAACGGCUCACCAAGACGACGAUCGAUAGGGGUUCUGAGAGGAUGAUCCCCCACAUUGGUACUGAGACACGGACCAAACUCCUACGGGAGGCAGCAGUAGGGAAUAUUGGGCAAUGGACGAGAGUCUGACCCAGCCAUGCCGCGUGAAGGAUAAAGGCCUUAUGGGUUGUAAACUUCUUUUAUACUGGGGUAAUACUCGCUACGUGUAGCGGGAUGAAAGUACAGUAAGAAUAAGCAUCGGCUAACUCCGUGCCAGCAGCCGCGGUAAUACGGAGGAUGCAAGCGUUAUCCGGAUUUAUUGGGUUUAAAGGGUGCGUAGGCGGAUUUGUAAGUCAGUGGUGAAAUCUCUCAGCUUAACUGAGGAACUGCCAUUGAAACUGCGAGUCUUGAGUUUAGACGGCGUGGGCGGAAUAUGUCAAGUAGCGGUGAAAUGCGUAGAUAUGACAUAGAACACCGAUAGGGUAGCCAGCUCACGAGGGUAAAACUGACGCUCAAGCACGAAAGCGUGGGGAUCAAACAGGAUUAGAUACCCUGGUAGUCCACGCUGUAAACGAUGAACACUCGUUGUCGGCAAGAAUUUGUCGGUGGCUAAGCGAAAGUGAUAAGUGUUCCACCUGGGGAGUACGUUCGCAAGUAUGAAACUCAAAGGAAUUGACGGGGGCCCGCACAAGCGGAGGAGCAUGUGGUUUAAUUCGAUGAUACGCGAGGAACCUUACCUAGACUUGAACGCAGAGGGAAUAACGUAGAAAUAUGUUAGCCAGCAAUGGUCGUCUGCGAGGUGCUGCAUGGUUGUCGUCAGCUCGUGCCGUGAGGUGUUAGGUUAAGUCCUGCAACGAGCGCAACCCUUACUGUUAGUUACCAGCAUGUAAAGAUGGGGACUCUGACAGAACUGCCCGCGCAAGCGAGGAGGAAGGUGGGGAUGACGUCAAAUCAGCACGGCCCUUACGUCUAGGGCGACACACGUGCUACAAUGGGCGGUACAGAGGGCAGCUACCUGGCGACAGGAUGCUAAUCUCGAAAGCCGUUCUCAGUUCGGAUCGGAGUCUGCAACUCGACUCCGUGAAGUUGGAUUCGCUAGUAAUCGCGCAUCAGCCAUGGCGCGGUGAAUACGUUCCCGGGCCUUGUACACACCGCCCGUCAAGCCAUGGAAGUUUGGGGCGCCUAAAGUACGUUACCGCAAGGAGCGUCCUAGGGCGAAACAAGUAACUGGGGCUAAGUCGUAACAAGGUAGCCGUACCGGAAGGUGUGGCUGGAAUACCUCCUUU
This 1520-nucleotide ribosomal RNA is filed under the name Bacteroidia bacterium. RNAcentral's name for it is "bacterial SSU rRNA". It matches the Rfam family "Bacterial small subunit ribosomal RNA". Lineage: Bacteria; Pseudomonadati; Bacteroidota; Bacteroidia. The record is from RNAcentral.